UGGGCUACACACGUGCUACAUUGGAUAAGACAAUGAGUCGCGAGCCUGCGAAGGUCAGCAAAUCUAUAAACUUAUUCUAAGUUCAGAUUGUAGGCUGCAACUCGCCUACAUGAAGUUGGAAUCGCUAGUAAUCGCUGGUCAGCCAUACAGCGGUGAAUCCGUUCCCGGGCCUUGUACACACCGCCCGUCACACCAUGGGAGCUGGUUAUACCCGAAGUUGUUAUCCUAACCUUUUGGAGGGGGGCGCCUAAGGUAGAAUUAGUGACUGGGGUGAAGUCGUAACAAGGUAGCCCUACUGGAAGGUGGGGCUGGAUCACCUCCUUU
RNAcentral lists this ribosomal RNA (324 nucleotides) under Gammaproteobacteria bacterium. Its description in RNAcentral is "bacterial SSU rRNA". It matches the Rfam family "Bacterial small subunit ribosomal RNA", at positions 1210 to 1533 of the family's 1533-position model. Lineage: Bacteria; Pseudomonadati; Pseudomonadota; Gammaproteobacteria. The record is from RNAcentral.